CGAGAAAAACUUUAGCAAUGUGCGAAGGCACGACAAGGUUAAUCCGAGUGGUUUCUGCUAAAGGAACCUUUUGUCCAGUCCUAGAAACAACUGGUGAAUAAGGGGUGGGCAAGUUCUGGUGUCAGCCGCCGCGGUAAAACCAGCACCUCAAGUGGUCAGGAUGAUUAUUGGGCCUAAAGCAUCCGUAGCCUGCUUUGUUAGUUUUCGGUUAAAUCUAUUCGCUCAACGAAUAGGCUGCCGGGAAUACUGCAAAGCUAGGGAGUGGGAGAGGUAGACGGUACUCGGUAGGAAAGGGGUAAAAAUCCUUUGAUCUAUUGAUGACCACCUGUGGCGAAGGCGGUCUACCAGAACACGUCCGACGGUGAGGGAUG
Molecule: ribosomal RNA, 371 nt
Filed under: uncultured euryarchaeote
Lineage: Archaea; Methanobacteriati; Methanobacteriota
Description: bacterial SSU rRNA
Rfam family: Archaeal small subunit ribosomal RNA
Source: RNAcentral